CUCUUAUUUUGAGAAGUAGAGGGAAUUGGCCCUAUGAAGCUUCAGCAACCGACAAAUCAUUGUACGGUGCUACAACCAACGAGAUACUCGAAUGAUAAGUA
Non-coding RNA from Staphylococcus sp. HMSC078E07, 101 nucleotides. NCBI's taxonomy places the organism in Bacteria, Bacillati, Bacillota, Bacilli, Caryophanales, Staphylococcaceae. The record is from Rfam.